CCUACGGGAGGCUGCAGUGGGGAAUUUUGCACAAUGGGCGCAAGCCUGAUGCAGCCAUGCCGCGUGUGUGAAGAAGGCCUUCGGGUUGUAAAGCACUUUCAGCGGGGAGGAAGGCGGUGAGGUUAAUAACCUCAUCGAUUGACGUUACCCGCAGAAGAAGCACCGGCUAACUCCGUGCCAGCAGCCGCGGUAAUACGGAGGGUGCAAGCGUUAAUCGGAAUUACUGGGCGUAAAGCGCACGCAGGCGGUCUGUCAAGUCGGAUGUGAAAUCCCCGGGCUCAACCUGGGAACUGCAUUCGAAACUGGCAGGCUAGAGUCUUGUAGAGGGGGGUAGAAUUCCAGGUGUAGCGGUGAAAUGCGUAGAGAUCUGGAGGAAUACCGGUGGCGAAGGCGGCCCCCUGGACAAAGACUGACGCUCAGGUGCGAAAGCGUGGGGAGCAAACAGGAUUAGAUACCCCGGUAGUC
RNAcentral lists this ribosomal RNA (465 nucleotides) under uncultured Klebsiella sp. RNAcentral's name for it is "bacterial SSU rRNA". It matches the Rfam family "Bacterial small subunit ribosomal RNA", at positions 338 to 795 of the family's 1533-position model. The record is from RNAcentral. Lineage: Bacteria; Pseudomonadati; Pseudomonadota; Gammaproteobacteria; Enterobacterales; Enterobacteriaceae.